AGUGAACGCUGGCGGUAGGCCUAACACAUGCAAGUCGAACGGCAGCACAGUAAGAGCUUGCUCUUACGGGUGGCGAGUGGCGGACGGGCGAGGAAUACAUCGGAAUCUACUUUUUCGUGGGGGAUAACGUAGGGAAACUUACGCUAAUACCGCAUACGACCUACGGGUGAAAGCAGGGGAUCUUCGGACCUUGCGCGAUUGAAUGAGCCGAUGUCGGAUUAGCUAGUUGGCGGGGUAAAGGCCCACCAAGGCGACGAUCCGUAGCUGGUCUGAGAGGAUGAUCAGCCACACUGGAACUGAGACACGGUCCAGACUCCUACGGGAGGCAGCAGUGGGGAAUAUUGGACAAUGGGCGCAAGCCUGAUCCAGCCAUACCGCGUGGGUGAAGAAGGCCUUCGGGUUGUAAAGCCCUUUUGUUGGGAAAGAAAAGCAGCAGGUUAAUACCCCGCUGUUCUGACGGUACCCAAAGAAUAGGCACCGGCUAACUUCGUG
This 492-nucleotide ribosomal RNA is filed under the name uncultured bacterium. RNAcentral describes it as "partial 16S ribosomal RNA". It matches the Rfam family "Bacterial small subunit ribosomal RNA", at positions 29 to 507 of the family's 1533-position model. The record is from RNAcentral.